ACUAUGUGUUGUUGGGUAGGGGAGCGUUCUGUAAGCCUGUGAAGGUGUGUCGUGAGGCAUGCUGGAGGUAUCAGAAGUGCGAAUGCUGACAUAAGUAACGAUAAAGCGGGUGAAAAGCCCGCUCGCCGGAAGACCAAGGGUUCCUGUCCAACGUUAAUCGGGGCAGGGUGAGUCGACCCCUAAGGCGAGGCCGAAAGGCGUAGUCGAUGGGAAACGGGUUAAUAUUCCCGUACUUGGUGUUACUGCGAAGGGGGGACGGAGAAGGCUAUGUUGGCCGGGCGACGGUUGUCCCGGUUUAAGCGUGUAGGUGUGUGUUCCAGGUAAAUCCGGUUCACUUUAACACUGAGGCGUGAUGACGAGGCACUACGGUGCUGAAGCAACAAAUGCCCUGCUUCCAGGAAAAGCCUCUAAGCAUCAGGUAACAUCAAAUCGUACCCCAA
Molecule: ribosomal RNA, 440 nt
Filed under: Salmonella enterica subsp. enterica serovar Mikawasima
Lineage: Bacteria; Pseudomonadati; Pseudomonadota; Gammaproteobacteria; Enterobacterales; Enterobacteriaceae
Description: partial 23S ribosomal RNA
Rfam family: Bacterial large subunit ribosomal RNA
Source: RNAcentral